Molecule: microRNA, 25 nt
Filed under: Lottia gigantea (owl limpet)
Lineage: Eukaryota; Metazoa; Mollusca; Gastropoda; Lottiidae
Description: Lgi-Mir-87-P1_5p* (star (passenger))
Source: RNAcentral
GUGCCUGAAAUUUUAGCUCAAACCU